GUCAGGCGGGGCCACCCGCCGAGUUUAA
RNAcentral lists this ribosomal RNA (28 nucleotides) under Heliconia aemygdiana. Its description in RNAcentral is "partial 26S ribosomal RNA". Lineage: Eukaryota; Viridiplantae; Streptophyta; Magnoliopsida; Zingiberales; Heliconiaceae. RNAcentral also lists the same sequence under 1 other name. The record is from RNAcentral.